Molecule: ribosomal RNA, 1232 nt
Filed under: uncultured Sebacina
Lineage: Eukaryota; Fungi; Basidiomycota; Agaricomycetes; Sebacinales; Sebacinaceae
Description: eukaryotic LSU rRNA
Rfam family: Eukaryotic large subunit ribosomal RNA (bases 563-1232)
Source: RNAcentral
UUCCGUAGGUGAACCUGCGGAAGGAUCAUUAAUGAUUGCGAAUAGUUACCUUCGGUGCUGGCUCUUGCAAGUGCACGUUGGUGGCUUUCAUCCAAUAUCCCUGUGAACCUUUGGCCUCUUGCUAGCUUCGGCUGGCAGAGGAAUUUUACACACUCGAAUGUAAUGAAAACUAUUGUCGUGCGCAAGCACUAAUGUACAACUUUCAACAACGGAUCUCUUGGCUCUCGCAUCGAUGAAGAACGCAGCGAAAUGCGAUAAGUAAUGUGAAUUGCAGAAUUCAGUGAAUCAUCGAAUCUUUGAACGCACCUUGCACCCUUUGGUAUUCCGAAGGGUAUGCUCGUUUGAGUGUCAUUGUACUCUCACACUCUCUGAUCUUUUUGGAUUCAGAGAGCGGUGGACUUGGGUGUUUGCUGCUUACCUUGCAGCUCACCUCAAAUGCGUCAGUGCAUCUCUUGGUUGGACAUAGUACGGCGUGAUAAGUAUCUUCGCCGGCACCUCGCAAGAGGGUGGCCGAUUGGGAGCUCUGUGCUUUCAAACCGUCUUCGGACAACUUUUGACAACUUGACCUCAAAUCGAGUAGGACUACCCGCUGAACUUAAGCAUAUCAAUAAGCGGAGGAAAAGAAACUAACAAGGAUUCCCCUAGUAACGGCGAGUGAAGAGGGAAGAGCUCAAAUUUUGAAUCUGGCGUCUUUGGCGUCCGAAUUGUAAUCUAGAGAAGUGUUUUCCGUGACGGACCGUGCACAAGUCUCCUGGAAUGGAGCGUCAUAGAGGGUGAGAAUCCCGUAUAUGGCAUGGACUGCCGUUGCUCUGUGAUACACUCUCGACGAGUCGAGUUGUUUGGGAAUGCAGCUCUAAAUGGGUGGUAAAUGCCAUCUAAAGCUAAAUAUUGGCGAGAGACCGAUAGCGAACAAGUACCGUGAGGGAAAGAUGAAAAGCACUUUGGAAAGAGAGUGAAACAGUACGUGAAAUUGUUGAAAGGGAAACGCUUGAAGUCAGUCGCGCCGGUCGGGAUUCAGCCUUGCUUCUGCUCGGUUUACUUCCUGUUGGGUGGGUCAACAUCAGUUUUGGUCGGAGGAGAAAGGCUUGGGGAAUGUGGCAGCAUUCGUGCUGUGUUAUAGCCCCUUGUUGUAUACUUCGGCUGGGACUGAGGACCGCAGCACGCCUUUGGCCGGGGUUCGCCCACGUACGUGCUUAGGAUGUUGGCAUAAUGGCUUUAAGCGACCCGUCUUG